GGCCUGGUAGCUUAGAGGUUAAGCGCUUCACUGUCUAUGAAGAACAGGAGGGUUCGAGUCCCUUCCAGGUCGCCA
This 75-nucleotide transfer RNA is filed under the name Saprospiraceae bacterium. RNAcentral's name for it is "tRNA-Asp". It matches the Rfam family "tRNA". From Rfam's summary of the family: Transfer RNA (tRNA) molecules are approximately 80 nucleotides in length. Their secondary structure includes four short double-helical elements and three loops (D, anti-codon, and T loops). Lineage: Bacteria; Pseudomonadati; Bacteroidota; Saprospiria; Saprospirales; Saprospiraceae. The record is from RNAcentral.